Hippocampus zosterae (dwarf seahorse) is the source of this 1082-nucleotide long non-coding RNA. RefSeq lists it as uncharacterized. The transcript has 2 exons. The record is from RefSeq and is a predicted model, not a curated record. NCBI's taxonomy places the organism in Eukaryota, Metazoa, Chordata, Actinopteri, Syngnathiformes, Syngnathidae.
CCCAUCCCCGGAAUUCUAUGGAAAGGAACAUUCUUCCCCCGGAAUAAAAUCCUAGGCAUUAACAUUUUGACUAUGAUAUUACGUGUUACCGGAACUUGCGUAAGCGGAAAUUCCACUACCCGUAACCCGGAUGGAGGUGUAAUUCCGCGGGACCUUAAAUACACGCAACGCCCACCCGAUGCGACGGAAAAGACAACGCUAAAACAAGUUUUCACUUCGCGUUUUUCGAUCAGCAGAUUCUAAAGGACGACGUAUACGUGAGUUUUUAUUGCCGUGCGUUUUACUGUAAUUGUGAAUGAUUUUAACUUUAUUCACUUCCGUCCUGGAGAACGCGGCACGAGCUGAAAAGCAGCACCCACUCGACAUGACAGAAGAAACGUGUUCGCUUUGCCGUUUUCAUUCAUCAGAUUCGAAACGAAGGCGUAUCAUCGCAUCGAAACGUAGAAGAACUGUAACGACUGGAGCGGAGCGGGUGAAAAGCAUCCGUUUGAGCGAGGCUGGACACAAAGUUAAAAAGACCCAGUCGACACUUGGAGUCAGAAAGACGCAAAUCUACGAAACUUUAAAAAACAAGGCAUCGAUUCAACUCCUGAUGACCAGCCACCAUCCAGCAAGGAAGCAAUGCAAAUGGCAGCAUAAAUCCUUCAGUAUGCACAAGAAUUACCAGACAUCGGUGAUCAAAGGGACAGUUACUUGCAACUAGCAAGAAAACUGUAUAACACGCGGACAAACAUUCUCAUAAACCAAAGAAUGCAUCCAACAAAACAAUCCAAAAUACACAUUUUUCCCCAAGACAGAAAAAAUAAAUAUUAAAAUACUGUAUGUAUUUUACUGUUGUGAUUUUUUGGGAUAAACCUGUAUUGCAGUUUUUGUUAUAUAAACAGUAUAUUUGUCUAUUUUAUUGAUUGUGUUGUUACACAUGCAUUUUGUCAACAUACUUGCAGAUUCAUAAAAGACAUGUACCAUGCUCAUUUCCCAAAUGAGGAAUUUCUGUUAUAAGCACAAAUUGGACAGCGCAAACACGAGUCCAUACUAGAGAAUAUUUACUGUAUACCUGUGCGUGUGAUUGUGUCUGUGUAUAU